UACGUAGGGGGCUAGCGUUGUCCGGAUUUAUUGGGCGUAAAGAGCGUGUAGGCGGCCUGGUAGGUCUGCUGUGAAAACUCGAGGCUCAACCUCGAGAUGUCGGCGGAAACCAUCUGGCUAGAGUCCGGAAGAGGAGACUGGAAUUCCAGGUGUAGCGGUGAAAUGCGUAGAUAUCUGGAGGAAUACCGGUGGCGAAGGCGGCAUCCUGGACCAUUACUGACGCUGAGGCGCGAAAGCUAGGGGAGCAAACGGG
Molecule: ribosomal RNA, 253 nt
Filed under: uncultured bacterium
Lineage: Bacteria
Description: partial 16S ribosomal RNA
Rfam family: Bacterial small subunit ribosomal RNA
Source: RNAcentral